UACGUAGGGUGCGAGCGUUGUCCGGAAUUAUUGGGCGUAAAGGGCUCGUAGGCGGUUUGUCACGUCGGGAGUGAAAACUCGGGGCUUAACCCCGAGCCUGCUUCCGAUACGGGCUGACUAGAGGUAUGCAGGGGAGAACGGAAUUCCUGGUGUAGCGGUGAAAUGCGCAGAUAUCAGGAGGAACACCGGUGGCGAAGGCGGUGGUCUGGGCCGGAACUGACGCUGUAGAGCGAAAGCGUGGGGAGCGAACAGG
Molecule: ribosomal RNA, 253 nt
Filed under: uncultured bacterium
Lineage: Bacteria
Description: partial 16S ribosomal RNA
Rfam family: Bacterial small subunit ribosomal RNA
Source: RNAcentral